AGAGAUGAUAGAAGUAAUAUAUUACGCUCAGUUUCGACCUGAGAAGAGGAUAAAGCCCUAUCUU
RNAcentral lists this transfer RNA (64 nucleotides) under Haustorioides koreanus. RNAcentral describes it as "tRNA-Arg". The record is from RNAcentral. Lineage: Eukaryota; Metazoa; Arthropoda; Malacostraca; Amphipoda; Dogielinotidae.